UACAGAGGUCCCAAGCGUUGUUCGGAUUCAUUGGGCGUAAAGGGUGCGUAGGCGGCUUGUUGCGUCGGCUGUGAAAACCCAUGGCUUAACCAUGGGCUUGCAGCCGAUACGGGCAGGCUAGAGUUCGGUAGGGGAGACUGGAAUUCCUGGUGUAGCGGUGAAAUGCGCAGAUAUCAGGAGGAACACCGGUGGCGAAGGCGGGUCUCUGGGCCGAUACUGACGCUGAGGAGCGAAAGCGUAGGGAGCGAACAGG
RNAcentral lists this ribosomal RNA (253 nucleotides) under uncultured bacterium. Its description in RNAcentral is "partial 16S ribosomal RNA". It matches the Rfam family "Bacterial small subunit ribosomal RNA", at positions 524 to 776 of the family's 1533-position model. The record is from RNAcentral.